AGCCAUGAUCAAACUCUACGACUUGUUACCUUGUUACGACUUAGCCCUAGUUACCAGUUUUACCCUAGGCCUCUUCUGAGGGUGUAUAAAGUGGCGCACGGGUGAGUAACACGUAAGUAAUCUACCCUCGGGUGGGGAAUAACAACCGGAAACGGUUGCUAAUACCGCAUAAUGCAGCGGCUCCUUAUGGAGACAGUUGUUAAAGGAUUUAUUCGCCUGAGGAGGAGCUUGCGGCAAAUUAGCUAGUUGGUAAGGUAAUGGCUUACCAAGGCUACGAUCUGUAGCCGGUCUAAGAGGACGGUCGGUCACACUGACACUGAAUAACGGGUCAGACUCCUACGGGAGGCAGCAGUCGGGAAUUUUGGGCAAUGGGCGAACCCCCCCCCCCAGCAACGCCGCGUGAAGGAUAAAAGUAUUUCGGUAUGUAAACUUCGAAAGAAUAGGAAGAAUUAAUGACGGUACUAUUUAUAAGGUCCGGCUAACUACGUGCCAGCAGCCGCGGUAAUACGUAGGGACCAAGCGUUGUUCGGAUUUACUGGGGCGUAAAGGGCGCGUAGGCGGCAUGACAAGUCACUUGUGAAAUCUCUGGGCUUAACUCAGAACGGCCAAGUGAUACUGUCGCGCUAGAGUGCAGAAAGGGCAAUCGGAAUUCUUGGUGUAGCGGUGGAAUGCGUAGAUAUCAAGAGGAACACCUGAGGCGAAGGCGGGUUGCUAGGCUGACACUGACGCUGAGGCGCGAAAGCCAGGGGAGCAAACGGGAUUAGAUACCCCGGUAGUCCUGGCCCUAAACGAUGAAUACUUGGUGUCUGGAAUUAUUAAUGCUCUGGGGUGCCGUCGCAACGUUUCAAGUAUUCGCCUUGGGGAAGUACGCUCGCAAGAGUGGAAACUCAAAGGAUUUGACGGGGAACCCCGCCACAACCGGGUGAGACUGGGGGUUUUAAUUUGCAGCCAACCGCGAAGAAACC
Molecule: ribosomal RNA, 965 nt
Filed under: uncultured Acidobacteriota bacterium
Lineage: Bacteria; Pseudomonadati; Acidobacteriota
Description: bacterial SSU rRNA
Rfam family: Bacterial small subunit ribosomal RNA
Source: RNAcentral